Hippopotamus amphibius kiboko is the source of this 2337-nucleotide long non-coding RNA. RefSeq lists it as uncharacterized. Lineage: Eukaryota; Metazoa; Chordata; Mammalia; Artiodactyla; Hippopotamidae. The record is from RefSeq and is a predicted model, not a curated record. The transcript has 4 exons.
CAAUUUCAUUUUCCGAUGAUGCGAGUUUACUCUUCCUGUGGGUGAACAGCAGGGAUUCAAUGGCCAAGGGCAUUCUGUGGAGUCACCCUCGGUUCUCCAGCUCCUGGGACAGAGUCGGCUGUGUUUGUUUUGAAGCUUGUAGGCCUGGCUUCUCACCCAACACAAGCAGCCCAGAGAACAGAUCUGAUUAAUGCCCUUCACCUCGAGCACCCUGAGUGCUGUGUUUGAAGAAGACAUGCAGCCAACAACUAUCAGCAGCUAAACUCCUGUCUGCCAGAGGUUCAGCCCAGAGGUGGCCACACUCAGACAGCCACUGAGGAGAGAGGACGAGGACACUCAGCUUUGGAAGGAAGCAGGAUACCAUCGAUCCUGCAGAUGGGACAGUAGCAGGGGACGUUCCGGACGCUCUUUCAGCCUGAGGACUCACAGUCUAGGAUUUGCCUGAAACAGUGAAAUGGGGAGAGACUGUGGAUGAAAUUAUACUCCUAAGAUAUAUGUCAUCCAGUAAAAAAGAACUCAGUUUUGGAGGUAAACAGGUUUGAGUUCUAACCCAGCUUUUUUUAUUACCUGAACAUCCUCAAGAAACAUAAAAAAAGAAAACCUUCACAAACACAGAAACAUCAGAAACAACCCUACUUCUUCAAGGCAGACUCUCCAAAGACAGAGGGAAUUUAACCUCUGUCCAGCUGAGGGCCUUGUUUGUAUGUUGGGUUCUACAUGUUUGUGCCCAAGAGAACUGGCAGAAAGGCCAGGAUGCUCAGGGGACCCUGGGCUUGGUAGGCACCUGCCACUGAACAACAGCACACUUUCUCCAGGCUCCACCCUGAGGGCAGUACAGUGCUUUGAGAAGCAGGGUGGGAAUGGUCCACGGAAAACGUGCAUCUGUGGAAGAUGGCGAAGCAGUCCCCCACCUCUGGCCAAUAGAAUUCAUCAACGAAUACAGGCACUCACCCUCCUCGGUCUGCAAUGAUCAGCACCCAACAACGGAACUAUCGUUCUUCUCAGUUGGCUUCCUGAAGUCAGGGGCUGCACUGUUUGGUUCUCCACUCUUCCUCAUGACUGUUUCCCUCAACUUGGGUCCGAUUCUGAUCACGGGCAGAGCUCCAGCCUCAGCCUGAUGGUGAGCGGUGCCACUGAAGCAGAUUGCGUGUCAGAGUUUGUCCCACCCCAGGCAAAGGUGCAGGCUUUUGUAUUCCUGCACUGGCCAUCAAUGGCUAUGAGGUGGAGGGUGGGAAGGGCCCUGGGAAAGUUCUCAAGUUCUUCUAACAAUCUGCACCAACAAGGAAGGCUCCAGUGCCCAGGGGCAAGCCUGGGAAUGUUGCAGGGGCAAACCCGUGGCAGCAAAGGAUCCAGGGCCUGGAGGUAGAGGCAGAGUUGGUGAGAGGGUUCUGAGGAGGUCUGGGCUGGGCCUCCUGUGCUUUCCUUCAACCCAAGGUUUUGGUAAGAGAUCAGUGUAAAGUGUAGGCCUGCGUGGCGCUGCUCACGCUGUCCCCCUGAUCUGGGCAGAUGGAGACAUUCACUGUCACAGUCAGAGACGGUCAUCCUGGGGUUUGGGGCCGUAGCCCCAUUAAGCAGGAGAAUGUCCCCGGCGUGGCCCUGCCCACAGCGCACAGAGUUUCCACGUGUGCAAGUGGCUGUGAGGGCAGCAGCCUGAUGUGCCUGGGUCUCUGGAACGAGGCUCUUUUAUAAUUAUAAAAGCAACAUACGGGGGCUUCCCUGGUAGCACAGUGGUUAAGAAUCUGCCUGCCAAUGCAGGGGACAUGGGUUCGAUCCCUGGUAUGGGAAGAUCCCACAUGCCAUGGAGCAACUAAGCCUGUGUGCCACAACUACUGAGCCUGCGCUCUAGAGCCUAUGAGUCACGACUAAUGAUGAGUCCACGCUCUGCAAUUACUAAAAAAAAGCCAGCGCGCCUAAAGCCCGUGCUCUGCAACAAGAGAAGCCACCGCAGUGAGAAGCCCCGCACCGCGACGAAGAGUAGCCCCCGCUCUCUGCAACUACAGAAAGCCUGUGUGCAGCAAAGAAGAGCCAACACAACCAAUAGAUAUAAAUAAAUAAAUAAGUUUAUAAAAAAAGCAAUAUAUGAAUAUGAGACAAUAAAAUGCAACACUUCUGAAUGGGUACCCCACCUCCAGAUGAGUCCUGCUACAUCUAGACUGUAGAAAAUUAUUUCUACAUUUAGAAAUAAUGUUUAAACAUUUCUGCUUUUUUUUAUGAUUAUAUAUCACUCAAUUUUAUACAUAUGUUUAUAGUUAUAUACAUAUAAUUUUUGGGAUUAUAUAUUCUUUACAUUGAAAAAUAAGGGAGCUAGUCUACUUGCUCUAUUAUCUACUUUCUCUU